GAUGAACGCUAGCUACAGGUCUUAACACAUGCAAGUCGAGGGGCAUCGGGAAGAAAGCUUGCUUUCUUUGCUGGCGACCGGCGCACGGGUGAGUAACACGUAUCCAACCUGCCCUUUACUCGGGGAUAGUCUUUCGAAAGAAAGAUUAAUACCCGAUAGCAUAAUGAUUCCGCAUGGUUUCAUUAUUAAAGGAUUCCGGUAAAGGAUGGGGAUGCGUUCCAUUAGGUUGUUGGUGAGGUAACGGCUCACCAAGCCUUCGAUGGAUAGGGGUUCUGAGAGGAAGGUCCCCCACAUUGGAACUGAGACACGGUCCAAACUCCUACGGGAGGCAGCAGUGAGGAAUAUUGGUCAAUGGGCGGUAGCCUGAACCAGCCAAGUAGCGUGAAGGAUGAAGGCUCUAUGGGUCGUAAACUUCUUUUAUAUAAGAAUAAAGUGCAGUAUGUAUACUGUUUUGUAUGUAUUAUAUGAAUAAGGAUCGGCUAACUCCGUGCCAGCAGCCGCGGUAAUACGGAGGAUCCGAGCGUUAUCCGGAUUUAUUGGGUUUAAAGGGAGCGUAGGUGGACUGGUAAGUCAGUUGUGAAAGUUUGCGGCUCAACCGUAAAAUUGCAGUUGAUACUGUCAGUCUUGAGUACAGUAGAGGUGGGCGGAAUUCGUGGUGUAGCGGUGAAAUGCUUAGAUAUCACGAAGAACUCCGAUUGCGAAGGCAGCUCACUGGACUGCAACUGACACUGAUGCUCGAAAGUGUGGGUAUCAAACAGG
This 759-nucleotide ribosomal RNA is filed under the name uncultured bacterium. RNAcentral describes it as "bacterial SSU rRNA". It matches the Rfam family "Bacterial small subunit ribosomal RNA", at positions 28 to 776 of the family's 1533-position model. The record is from RNAcentral.